This 497-nucleotide ribosomal RNA is filed under the name uncultured bacterium. Its description in RNAcentral is "partial 16S ribosomal RNA". It matches the Rfam family "Bacterial small subunit ribosomal RNA", at positions 28 to 507 of the family's 1533-position model. The record is from RNAcentral.
GACGAACGCUGGCGGCGUGCCUAAUACAUGCAAGUCGAGCGAAUGUGCCUUGAGGUUCGGUGUGUUUGGUUACCGUGAAACGAGUUACUGGCACGUGGAUGACGGGCGUGUAACACGUGGGUAACUUGGCCAAGCGGUCGGGAAUACAGGUGGAUAUUGUGAACCGUAUGGGUUAACAGUGAAAGACGCUCUUCCUGUGUCUUAUAGAUGGUUCUGCGCUGCAUUAGCUAGUUGGUAAGGUAACGGCCUACCAAGGCAACGAUGCAUAGCCGACCUGAGAGGCUGAUCGGCCACACUGGGACUGAGACACGGUCCAGACUCCUACGGGAGGCAGCAGUAGGGAAUCUUCCACAAUGGGCGCAAGUCUGAUGGAGCAACGCCGCGUGAGUGAUGAAGGUCUUCGGCUCGUAAAACUCUGUUGUUAGGGAAGAACAACAGUGUUAGUAACUGUGCUUAGCUUGACGGUAACUAAUCAGAAAGCCACGGCUAACUACGUG